GAUGAACGCUGGCGGCGUGCCUAACACAUGCAAGUCGAACGAAGCAAUUAAAUGAAGUUUUCGGAUGGAAUUUAAUUGACUGAGUGGCGGACGGGUGAGUAACGCGUGGAUAACCUGCCUAUCAGAGGGGAACAACAGUUAGAAAUGACUGCUAAUACCGCAUAUGCCUAAGUACCACAUGGUACAAUAGGGAAAGGAGAAAUCCGCUGAUAGAUGGGCUUGCGUCUGAUUAGAUAGUUGGUGGGGUAAAGGCCUACCAAGUCGACGAUCAGUAGCCGGACUGAGAGGUUGAACGGCCACAUUGGGACUGAGAUACGGCCCAG
Molecule: ribosomal RNA, 323 nt
Filed under: uncultured bacterium
Lineage: Bacteria
Description: bacterial SSU rRNA
Rfam family: Bacterial small subunit ribosomal RNA
Source: RNAcentral